GAUGAACGCUGGCGGCGUGCCUAAUACAUGCAAGUCGAGCGAACGGACGAGAAGCUUGCUUCUCUGAUGUUAGCGGCGGACGGGUAAGUAACACGUGGAUAACCUACCUAUAAGGCUGGGAUAACUUCGAGAAACCGUAGCUAGUACCGGAUAAUAGUUUGAACCGCAUGGUUCACAAGUGAAAGACUGUCUUGCUGUCACUUCUAGAUGGAUCCGCGCUGCAUUAGCUAGUUGGUAAGGUAACGGCUUACCAAGACAACGAUGCAUAGCCGACCUCAGAGGGUGAUCGGCAACUCUGGAACUGAGACACGGUCCAGACUCCUACGUGAGGCAGCAGUCGGGAAUCUUCCGGAAGGGGCGAAAGCCUGACGUAGCAACGCCGCGUGAGUGAGGAAGGUCUUCGCAUCGUAAAACUCUGUUAUUAGGGAAGAACAUAUGUGUAAGUACCUGUGCACAGCUUGACGGUACCUUAUCAGAAAGGCACGGGUAACUACGUG
This 497-nucleotide ribosomal RNA is filed under the name uncultured bacterium. RNAcentral's name for it is "partial 16S ribosomal RNA". It matches the Rfam family "Bacterial small subunit ribosomal RNA", at positions 28 to 507 of the family's 1533-position model. The record is from RNAcentral.